RNAcentral lists this ribosomal RNA (150 nucleotides) under Salmonella enterica subsp. enterica serovar Wandsworth str. A4-580. Its description in RNAcentral is "partial large subunit ribosomal RNA". Lineage: Bacteria; Pseudomonadati; Pseudomonadota; Gammaproteobacteria; Enterobacterales; Enterobacteriaceae. The record is from RNAcentral.
UUGUACCGCGCGGCUAUUAAUAAACAUAUCCAGACAUUACGCGACUGGGGAGUAGAUGUAUUUACCGUUCCCGGGAAAGGAUAUAGCUUACCGGAACCCAUCCAGUUACUGGAUGCUGACCGUAUACAUAGCCAACUGGAUAGCGGAAAC